UACGGAGGGUGCAAACGUUGCUCGGAAUCAUUGGGCGUAAAGCGCACGUAGGCGGCCUUAUAAGUCGGGUGUGAAAGCCCUCGGCUCAACCGAGGAAGUGCAUUCGAUACUGCAAGGCUUGAAUAUGGAAGAGGGUCGCGGAAUUCCCGGUGUAGAGGUGAAAUUCGUAGAUAUCGGGAGGAACACCAGUGGCGAAGGCGGCGACCUGGGCCAAUAUUGACGCUGAGGUGCGAAAGCGUGGGGAGCAAACAGG
This 253-nucleotide ribosomal RNA is filed under the name uncultured bacterium. RNAcentral describes it as "partial 16S ribosomal RNA". It matches the Rfam family "Bacterial small subunit ribosomal RNA", at positions 524 to 776 of the family's 1533-position model. The record is from RNAcentral.